RNAcentral lists this long non-coding RNA (337 nucleotides) under Eucalyptus grandis. Its description in RNAcentral is "long non-coding RNA (EGRA_LNC007595)". Lineage: Eukaryota; Viridiplantae; Streptophyta; Magnoliopsida; Myrtales; Myrtaceae. The record is from RNAcentral.
ACCGUGAGCGGCUGAGCAGGCCGCCGGAGCCGCCGUCCGGCCUCACCGGAGCCCCGCCUGCUCUCCCGACCUCUUGCCGCCCCCAACCCUCUCUCUUUCUCUCUGUUUUGCAGCUAAACCAGUAGACCCACGAAGUGGGUUACCAGCACUUCGGGCCCGCUUUUGGACCGUUUCCCGGCCCCGAACCCAAGCCGUGCUUUGGGAACAAUCGUUCCUCGCGUCGCCGCCGUCGGAUUGAUCCGAUUUGCGCGCGAUUUGGUGAGUAAUCUCACUAAUCCUGGAUUAGUUGGCUAAUUAUGCUUUAGGUUGGUUUAGUUUUAAUUAAUUAUAUUUAGGU